This 871-nucleotide ribosomal RNA is filed under the name Escherichia coli. RNAcentral describes it as "partial 23S ribosomal RNA". It matches the Rfam family "Bacterial large subunit ribosomal RNA", at positions 315 to 1191 of the family's 2925-position model. Lineage: Bacteria; Pseudomonadati; Pseudomonadota; Gammaproteobacteria; Enterobacterales; Enterobacteriaceae. The record is from RNAcentral.
AAUCAGUGUGUGUGUUAGUGGAAGCGUCUGGAAAGGCGUGCGAUACAGGGUGACAGCCCCGUACACAAAAAUGCACAUAUUGUGAGCUCGAUGAGUAGGGCGGGACACGUGGUAUCCUGUCUGAAUAUGGGGGGACCAUCCUCCAAGGCUAAAUACUCCUGACUGACCGAUAGUGAACCAGUACCGUGAGGGAAAGGCGAAAAGAACCCCGGCGAGGGGAGUGAAAAAGAACCUGAAACCGUGUACGUACAAGCAGUGGGAGCCUCUUAAUGGGGUGACUGCGUACCUUUUGUAUAAUGGGUCAGCGACUUAUAUUCUGUAGCAAGGUUAACCGAAUAGGGGAGCCGAAGGGAAACCGAGUCUUAACUGGGCGUUAAGUUGCAGGGUAUAGACCCGAAACCCGGUGAUCUAGCCAUGGGCAGGUUGAAGGUUGGGUAACACUAACUGGAGGACCGAACCGACUAAUGUUGAAAAAUUAGCGGAUGACUUGUGGCUGGGGGUGAAAGGCCAAUCAAACCGGGAGAUAGCUGGUUCUCCCCGAAAGCUAUUUAGGUAGCGCCUCGUGAAUUCAUCUCCGGGGGUAGAGCACUGUUUCGGCAAGGGGGUCAUCCCGACUUACCAACCCGAUGCAAACUGCGAAUACCGGAGAAUGUUAUCACGGGAGACACACGGCGGGUGCUAACGUCCGUCGUGAAGAGGGAAACAACCCAGACCGCCAGCUAAGGUCCCAAAGUCAUGGUUAAGUGGGAAACGAUGUGGGAAGGCCCAGACAGCCAGGAUGUUGGCUUAGAAGCAGCCAUCAUUUAAAGAAAGCGUAAUAGCUCACUGGUCGAGUCGGCCUGCGCGGAAGAUGUAACGGGGCUAAACCAUG